AUUGAACGCUGGCGGCAGGCCUAACACAUGCAAGUCGAGCGAGCGGCGGACGGGUGAGUAAUGUCUGGGAAACUGCCUGAUGGAGGGGGAUAACUACUGGAAAAGGUAGCUAAUACCGCAUAACAUCAGAUGUGCCCAGAUGGGAUUAGCUAGUAGGUGGGGUAAUGGCUAACCUAGGCCACGAUCACUAGCUGGUCUGAGAGGAUGACCAGUCACACUGGAACUGAGACACGGUCCAGACUCCUACGGGAGGCAUCAGUGGGGAAUAUUGCACAAUGGGCGCAAGCCUGAUGCAGCCAUGCCGCGUGUAUGAAGAAGGCCUUCGGGUUGUAAAGUACUUUCAGCGAGGAGGCGUUACUCGCAGAAGAAGCACCGGCUAACUCCGUGCCAGCAGCCGCGGUAAUAC
This 406-nucleotide ribosomal RNA is filed under the name uncultured bacterium. Its description in RNAcentral is "partial 16S ribosomal RNA". It matches the Rfam family "Bacterial small subunit ribosomal RNA", at positions 30 to 526 of the family's 1533-position model. The record is from RNAcentral.